AUCUACAGCCAUGCCACCCUGAACAAGCCCAAUGUCUGAUCUUGGAAGCUAAGCAUUGUCGGAUCUGGUUAGUACUUGGAUGGGAGACCACCUAGGAAGACCAGGUGCUGUAGGUG
Molecule: ribosomal RNA, 116 nt
Filed under: Pteropus alecto (black flying fox)
Lineage: Eukaryota; Metazoa; Chordata; Mammalia; Chiroptera; Pteropodidae
Source: RNAcentral